UACGAAGGGGGCUAGCGUUGCUCGGAAUCACUGGGCUUAAAGGGCGCGUAGGCGGCUUGCCAAGUCCGGGGUGAAAGCCUCCAGCUUAACUGGAGAAGUGCCUUGGAUACUGGCGAGCUCGAGCGAGGCAGGGGUGAUGGGAACUUCCGGUGGAGCGGUGAAAUGCGUUGAUAUCGGAAGGAACGCCGGUGGCGAAAGCGCAUCACUGGUCCUCUUCUGACGCUGAGGCGCGAAAGCCAGGGGAGCAAACGGG
This 253-nucleotide ribosomal RNA is filed under the name uncultured bacterium. RNAcentral describes it as "partial 16S ribosomal RNA". It matches the Rfam family "Bacterial small subunit ribosomal RNA", at positions 524 to 776 of the family's 1533-position model. The record is from RNAcentral.